Long non-coding RNA from Eupeodes corollae, 4085 nucleotides. RefSeq lists it as uncharacterized. The record is from RefSeq and is a predicted model, not a curated record. Lineage: Eukaryota; Metazoa; Arthropoda; Insecta; Diptera; Syrphidae. The transcript has 2 exons.
UUGGGGAGACCUAUAACACAGAACCACAUGAGACCAGAACACUACAAAUAUCACAUUACAUAGUUAAGAAAUAAUAACCAAAACAUAUAAUCCAUAACAAACAAUAACAUGCAAAAAAUGGUCGUUCACGAAGUUUGAAUACGAACAUAAGACAAAACUAGUAUCAUAAGAUUUCAGGUCACACGCAACUUAACUAAUCUAACACGCAACCCAACUCGCCCUUGAAACACACCUAUUAUUUUGCAUCCGUGUGGAGAUUGGAGAACUGUCAGUCACCGACACCAUUCUGACACACAACGCAGCUAACGUUAAACCGAAGCCUGUGCCAAAGACCUGUACAUGGAACAAUUUCAUCAGGUGACCAAAUCUGCUUCGUUGCUGACCGGAUGCAUUUCACGCGCGCAUUGAACAACACGCGCAACUCCAAUAAUGCUGACGCAUCUGGGAACCAGGGUUAAGGUUGUUUUAUGAAUUAGGUUUAGAUAUGGCUUUGAUUCAGUUAGUUCAGUUAGUAUUAAUUUGGACUUGACAGAGAAUAGUCAAUUAAAAUAUAGAUCAUUAAAACUUAAAAGCUUAACUUGUGCUUUCCUCUGAAAUUACAACCCUAAGGACCUGAGGAUGUCCAGGCGUCCGCAACAGUCGAUCGUUCAUUAUUUCGUUUUUAGGGCCUUUUUUGUGUGUAUUAUGAAGGAGCUCUUCCAGAUAAAAGAAAACAGCGAGUUACUUAAGGACGUGUUGAAAAGAACACAUAACGGGUGUGCUAAAUACGCAGCACAUUUCUUUAAAAUGGAUGAUGAUACACUGUCGGGACCAGGACUAAAACAUUCGUCAAGUUGUAGGAUACUAUUAAGGACAGUAUCUUCACUAAUAACGAAAUUGAUAGAAUUGAAGUGGGGAAAAUUUAUAACAGUGGUAGAUAUGUUGGGAAAACUAAUAGUAUUAUAAUCUACAAAAGCAUCUUUGAAGAAGUUUGCAAACAUGUUCGCAAUUAUUCUCGGCUCAUUACUAUUUGAUGUCGAAUAAAUCAUUAAGUUAGUUCAGUUACGAUUAUCUAUCUUCUAUCUAACUAUCAGGAUUAGUUUUAAUGUUUAAUUCAAUUUUCUGAAUGUAGUCAUCAUACAUAUAGGAUGUUAGAGUAGUCAGUGAAAAGUUGUUUUGUUAUAAUGAAUGUCCUGUAAUCAUCAUCAGUUAUUGUUUCAUUGUACUUUAUCCAAACUUUAUUUCUUUUGUUUUUUAAAUCUUGUAAACUUAAAGAAAAAAUCAGACAGCUUUCCAGUUAACUUCACUUACAAGAACCUUUCGUUAGAUAAAACUGUUGAUAUCUCCAACGCUUUUGCAACAAAUUUCCGUGAGUCAUUUGUUAAGAAGUUGAUGAAGUAUAUUUAACCUUCACUCUUUUUCGCAAACUAGCUGUAGUCAAAUCCCUGUGCUACAGAGUACGGUCCUUGAUUUUUUAUCCGCGUUGAAUGAUGACUCUUCAGCCGGUUCCGGUGGUAUUCCCCCGAUAAAAAGUGCCGUAAUGCCUUAGUUGAACCUCUAACGUUCUUAUUCAAUCUUUUUCUUAAAACAGGCAAAUUUUUCAGUACAUGGAAGAAGUCAUUUCUAACACCAAUUUUCAAGAAAGGUAGCAAGGUGGAUAUAGCAAACUACAGGCCCAUUGCAAAGCUUUCUUCCAUUCCUAAUAUUGUUUUUUUUUUUCUUUAAGAAAACGAAACAACUUUUUUAAGAAAUCUCUUUGUUAAUAUAAACUUUUCUUUUAUUUUUAUUUUUGUCUAGAGCACUAAAAAAUUCAGUGUAGCUUUCUCUCUUCCUAUCCGUCUUCUCUCGUUGAGCUGCAAAUAUGAUUUUGUUUAAGCACGUUAAUUAGUGGAUGCGUCCAGCGAAAAAUCCUGUGUUUCUCUGCAAAUUUCACAGCUGGUCUCUCCAUGACACAGUAAAGAGUCUUCACGAUACCGCUGCGAUGAUCCUUCUUUCGGGUUAGUUAUUUCUUGCCAAGUCCUUAUCGACGACUAUCACAAUAUCAUCUACUUGCAAUGGUAACACUGGUAAAAAACCAUUUGGAGUGGAGUGUGAGUUCGGGCAAGUAUCUUUCAACAAAAAUCUUCCAGAAUUGGUUAUUAAAACGUUCUUUCUGUUUAUAAUUGGUCCUUAGAAUCUUUGGCUCAUGUUCCGGAUUCCCUAUAGGUUUGUUGUCACCCGAAAGCAGUCCAAAAAAUGAUUGGGUGUCAAUACGUCGUCUUGUUCGUUGUCCAGAGGCACAUACGUCAGUGGUCUGGAAUUAAUUAUGUUCUCUACCGAUAUUGAACAGCUUCUUAGCAGUUGCUCUGAAGGAGUACUCUCUGGUAAUGAGGCAUAUAACGUUUUCUUGAAGCACCUCACCAUCCUUUCGCAGGCUCCACACAUGUGUGGUGAUGCAGGCGGGUUAAAGUUCCAUCUUAAUUUCGUUUUGACGAAUCGCCUAGCCAACACUUCGGGGUCAACUGCCUUUAGUUCUUCUCUCAGCUCCAAUGAAGUUUGUUCCUCUGUCACCGAAUAUUUGAGCAAGGAAGCCACGUCUGCAUAUAAAAACGGUGAAACACAAUAUAAAUGUAUCUGAAUCCAUUUUGCUUGCAAUUUCAAUGUGCACGGCACGAGUGGUCAUGCACGUAAAGAGUAAGCCCCAUCUCUUCUCAGUACGUCUUCAAAUUUUCACCAUCAUUGGUCUAAAAUAAUCUACUCCCACGUAAGUAAAAGGAGCGGUAUAAGCAUAUAAGCCUAGCAGCAGGAAGCGGUGCCAUUUGUGUAGGAAUUGGUUUUGCUUUUCGCAUUUUGCACAAUUGGCAUUCACUUAUUCUUAAUUUUACCUCAUAUCGAAGUUAAGGUAUUCUAUAUUAUAUAUAUAUUUAUAUAUAAUAUAUAUUAUAUUGUUUCCGAUUGCGAUAAGUUCAUGUUGUCUACUUCGAGAUGUUGAUAGAAGCUUUGUGGCGUUUUAUUUUUCUUUUGAACUGGCGGAGUUGUCACGCUUUCUUUCGGAAUCCAAGUAGACGUCGUAGUCAUGCUGCAUUCAUCGGUUGCGAUUUCGUAUACCCAUUCAGAUAAUGUAUGCAAACUGUCUGGAUCACUUGAAUAACGCUUACUCUGUGCCCAGUUAACUAACCUUGUUGGAGGUUAUCUGUCUUGCAACUCUUUAAUAAGCAUGGGGUUACUAAUAUAAUCCUCCAUCCCAGCUUGAGAUAAAGUAGAGCAAAUAUUCUUGACACCCAUGGCAAAGGCGACGAAACUUUCCAAUUUCUCAAUCUUAGGAGCGGACAUUUUACGCAAACGCUGUAUCUGCUGAUCCAAGACCAACUCAGGUCUACCAAAUAACAUUUGCAAUGUGUCUAUGAUGUCUUCCACGCAACCUGGGAUUCUGAUUUGAUCCUCCACCAUUGUACGUGCCGUUCCCUGGAUACUAUGCUAGAGUCGUAUCAGAUUUUCAUAAUUCUAAAAUCCACAGGCUAUUGUAGUUUGCUUAUAGCUGUUUAUAAAAAUUGGCCAUUCACUUGGAUUGCCUGUGAACACUAGAAGGUUCUUGGGCAACGCUUGCCUAGCUGCUAAUUGCCGUGACGAAAUCUCACCUUCAUGCAAUUCUUGAAAUGGCAUUGUUCGUUUACGUGGAACCUGAUGAGUAAUCAAAUAAGUACUGACAAUUUGUGUCGGUCGUUGCACCUCAUCAGUCUCACUCUGCUUUUUUGUUCUUUAUGAAUUUCUGUAUUGGCCUUGCUAUGCACAGAACUACGUUCCUUUAAAGAGCAGUUGCUGAGUUGUUCCAUUAGCUCUUGUUGUUUUUGCAGGAUAACUUGUUAUCUUUUCAGGAUGUCUUGCUCAUCUUGCAUUAGCUUCAGUUGUUCACGCAUAGUACGUAGAGAUGAAGUCGACAAAGAAUCGCUUCGCUGAAGACUCGUUGAUUUCACCGGUGGUACAUUAGUUUUAGUUUUAGUUUUAGUUUUAUUUCAUCAAUCAGAUUACAAUCUUUAUAGACUAGAUACUAAAUAAUACAAUUGUUGGGGGCUGUAUGCUUAUAUAAAUAAAUAAAUUAAAUAAAUAUUACAAUAAGUUAUACAUUA